RNAcentral lists this transfer RNA (75 nucleotides) under Desulfobacteraceae bacterium. Its description in RNAcentral is "tRNA-Ala". It matches the Rfam family "tRNA". Rfam says of the family: Transfer RNA (tRNA) molecules are approximately 80 nucleotides in length. Their secondary structure includes four short double-helical elements and three loops (D, anti-codon, and T loops). The record is from RNAcentral. Lineage: Bacteria; Pseudomonadati; Thermodesulfobacteriota; Desulfobacteria; Desulfobacterales; Desulfobacteraceae.
GGGGCUGUAGCUCAGUUGGGAGAGCGCAUGACUGGCAGUCAUGAGGCCAGGGGUUCGACCCCCUCAGCUCCACCA